AUGAAACUCGUCAGUUGGAAUUGCCAGGGACUUGGGAACGGCCCGGCAGUUCAAUCUCUUCUCAAACUGGGAAGAAUGGAGGAUCCCAAUAUCUUAUUUCUUUGUGAGACUAGGCUGAGGGAGAAGGAGUUGGGAAGAUUUUGGUGGUUGUUGGGGCUCGCCAACAUGGUUGCUUGGAAGGAUGAGGGGAGUGGGAGAGGGGUGGCACUUUUCUGGAGGCAGGGAGUUGAUGUCAAUCUCAGAUCAUAUGGGAGGAGGCACGUGGACGUUGAUGUAACGAGGGAGGAUGGGUCGGUCUGGCGGCUAAUGGGAGUUUAUGGAGAGUCUGAAUUAAGUAGGAAAGCAGAAACAUGGAGAUUGUUAAAGAUUCUAAAACAACAACAUCAGGCAUCCAGGCCGUGGUUGUGCUUUGGAGAUUUUAAUGAGAUUCUAGCAAGCAACGAGAAGGUGAGGGGUGCAGUUCGGCCUCAGCAAUACCUUGAUGCUUUCAGGGAGGCACUUGACUAG
Molecule: ribosomal RNA, 507 nt
Filed under: Triticum aestivum (bread wheat)
Lineage: Eukaryota; Viridiplantae; Streptophyta; Magnoliopsida; Poales; Poaceae
Description: partial small subunit ribosomal RNA
Source: RNAcentral